AGUCGAACGGACUUAACUCAUUCUUUUAGAUUGAGAGCGGUUAGUGGCGGACUGGUGAGUAACACGUAAGCAACCUGCCUAUCAGAGGGGAAUAACAGUGAGAAAUCAUUGCUAAUACCGCAUAAGCUAGUAGUAUCGCAUGAUAUAGCUAGAAAAGGAGCAAUCCGCUGAUAGAUGGGCUUGCGUCUGAUUAGCUAGUUGGUGGGGUAACGGCCUACCAAGGCGACGAUCAGUAGCCGGACUGAGAGGUUGAACGGCCACAUUGGGACUGAGAUACGGCCCAGACUCCUACGGGAGGCAGCAGUCGGGAAUAUUGCGCAAUGGAGGAAACUCUGACGCAGUGACACCGCGUAUAGGAAGAAGGUUUUCGGAUUGUAAACUAUUGUCGUGAGGGAAGAAAUUGACAGUACCUCAGGAGGAAGCUCCGGCUAACUAUGUGCCAGCAGCCGCGGUAAUACAUAGGGAGCAAGCGUUAUCCGGAUUUAUUGGGUGUAAAGGGUGCGUAGACGGGAAAUUAAGUUAGUUGUGAAAUCCCUCGGCUUAACUGAGGAACUGCAACUAAAACUGAUUUUCUUGAGUACUGGAGAGGAAAGUGGAAUUCCUAGUGUAGCGGUGAAAUGCGUAGAUAUUAGGAGGAACACCAGUGGCGAAGGCGGCUUUCUGGACAGUAACUGACGUUGAGGCACGAAAGUGUGGGGAGCAAACAGGAUUAGAUACCCUGGUAGUCCACACUGUAAACGAUGGAUACUAGGUGUAGGAUGUAUUAAGCAUUCUGUGCCGCCGCUAACG
This 789-nucleotide ribosomal RNA is filed under the name uncultured bacterium. Its description in RNAcentral is "bacterial SSU rRNA". It matches the Rfam family "Bacterial small subunit ribosomal RNA", at positions 60 to 857 of the family's 1533-position model. The record is from RNAcentral.